CUUCGGGGUGAGCGGCGGACGGGUUAGUAACGCGUGGGAACGUACCCUUCUCUACGGAAUAGCCAUUGGAAACGAUGAGUAAUACCGUAUACGCCCUUUGGGGGAAAGAUUUAUCGGAGAAGGAUCGGCCCGCGCUAGAUUAGAUAGUUGGUGAGGUAAUGGCUCACCAAGUCUACGAUCUAUAGUUGGUUUGAGAAGAUGAGCAGCCACACUGGGACUGAGACACGGCCCAGACUCC
This 238-nucleotide ribosomal RNA is filed under the name uncultured bacterium. RNAcentral's name for it is "partial 16S ribosomal RNA". It matches the Rfam family "Bacterial small subunit ribosomal RNA", at positions 84 to 339 of the family's 1533-position model. The record is from RNAcentral.